CCUACGGGUGGCAGCAGUGAGGAAUAUUGGUCAAUGUGCGGGAGCCUGAACCAGCCAAGCCGCGUGAAGGAAGAAGGCGCCAGGCGUCGUAAACUUCUUUUGUCGGGGAACAAAGGGCGCCACGCGUGGCGUUGUGAGUGUACCCGAAGAAAAAGCAUCGGCUAACUCCGUGCCAGCAGCCGCGGUAAUACGGAGGAUCCGAGCAUUAUCCGGAGUGACUGGGUGUAAAGAGUUGCGUAGGUGGCAUAAUUAGUAGCUAGUGAAAUCUGGUGGCUCAACCAUUCAGACUAUUAGCUAAACUGUUAAGCUCGAGACCGUUAGGGGUAACUGGAAUUUCUAGUGUAGGAGUGAAAUCCGUAGAUAUUAGAAGGAACACCAAUAGCGUAGGCAGGUUGCUGGGACGGUUCUGACACUAAGGCACGAAAGCGUAGGGAGCAAACGGGAUUAGAUACCCCUGUAGUC
RNAcentral lists this ribosomal RNA (462 nucleotides) under uncultured bacterium. RNAcentral describes it as "partial 16S ribosomal RNA". It matches the Rfam family "Bacterial small subunit ribosomal RNA", at positions 338 to 795 of the family's 1533-position model. The record is from RNAcentral.